RNAcentral lists this ribosomal RNA (467 nucleotides) under uncultured bacterium. RNAcentral describes it as "partial 16S ribosomal RNA". It matches the Rfam family "Bacterial small subunit ribosomal RNA", at positions 28 to 507 of the family's 1533-position model. The record is from RNAcentral.
GACGAACGCUGGCGGCGUGCUUAACACAUGCAAGUCGAACGGAAAGGCCCUGCUUUUGUGGGGUGCUCGAGUGGCGAACGGGUGAGUAACACGUGAGUAACCUGCCCUUGACUUUGGGAUAACUUCAGGAAACUGGGGCUAUACCGGAUAGGAGCUCCUGCUGCAUGGGGGGGGUUGGAAAGUUUCGGCGGUUGGGGAUGGACUCGCGGCUUAUCAGCUUGUUGGUGGGGUAGUGGCUUACCAAGGCUUUGACGGGUAGCCGGCCUGAGAGGGUGACCGGCCACAUUGGGACUGAGAUACGGCCCAGACUCCUACGGGAGGCAGCAGUGGGGAAUAUUGCACAAUGGGCGGAAGCCUGAUGCAGCAACGCCGCGUGCGGGAUGACGGCCUUCGGGUUGUAAACCGCUUUCGCCUGUGACGAAGCGUGAGUGACGGUAAUGGGUAAAGAAGCACCGGCUAACUACGUG